UACAGAGGGGGCAAGCGUUGUUCGGAAUUACUGGGCGUAAAGGGCGCGUAGGCGGCCUUCUAAGUCGAACGUGAAAUCCCCGGGCUCAACCCGGGAACUGCGUCCGAUACUGGAGGGCUUGAAUCCGGGAGAGGGAUGUGGAAUUCCAGGUGUAGCGGUGAAAUGCGUAGAUAUCUGGAGGAACACCAAUGGCGAAAGCAGGUACCUGGACUAUUACUGACACUCAGCUGCGAAAGCUAGGGGAGCAAACAGG
Molecule: ribosomal RNA, 253 nt
Filed under: uncultured bacterium
Lineage: Bacteria
Description: partial 16S ribosomal RNA
Rfam family: Bacterial small subunit ribosomal RNA
Source: RNAcentral